AUCAUUUUGGUGUUUUAUUUGGUUUCAAUUGAGUGUAGAUAAAAUGAGUGAGUAGAUUAGUCAUGUCCCGUCUCUUUGCCUAUCUUGAAAUUUCUCAUCACAUAAUUAUUUCAUU
Molecule: small RNA, 115 nt
Filed under: Arabidopsis thaliana (thale cress)
Lineage: Eukaryota; Viridiplantae; Streptophyta; Magnoliopsida; Brassicales; Brassicaceae
Description: ATSL102310
Source: RNAcentral